Molecule: small nuclear RNA, 149 nt
Filed under: Peromyscus maniculatus bairdii (prairie deer mouse)
Lineage: Eukaryota; Metazoa; Chordata; Mammalia; Rodentia; Cricetidae
Description: U2 spliceosomal RNA (ENSPEMG00000003951.2)
Rfam family: U2 spliceosomal RNA (bases 1-110)
About the family: U2 is a small nuclear RNA (snRNA) component of the spliceosome (involved in pre-mRNA splicing). Complementary binding between U2 snRNA (in an area lying towards the 5' end but 3' to hairpin I) and the branchpoint sequence (BPS) of the intron results the bulging out of an unpaired adenosine, on the BPS, which initiates a nucleophilic attack at the intronic 5' splice site, thus starting the first of two transesterification reactions that mediate splicing.
Source: RNAcentral
AUUGCUUCUCUGCCUUUUGGCUAAGAUCAAGUAUAGUAUCUGUUCUUAUCAGUUUAAUAUCUGAUACAUCCUCAAUUUGAGGACAAUAUAGUGAAAGACCCUAACCCUUCAGGCUUACACCCCCAAGCCUCAGGAAAAGAGAAACUUCA